This 484-nucleotide ribosomal RNA is filed under the name uncultured bacterium. Its description in RNAcentral is "partial 16S ribosomal RNA". It matches the Rfam family "Bacterial small subunit ribosomal RNA", at positions 30 to 507 of the family's 1533-position model. The record is from RNAcentral.
AUUGAACGCUGGCGGCAGGCCUAACACAUGCAAGUCGAGCGGAUGAAGGGAGCUUGCUCCUGGAUUCAGCGGCGGACGGGUGAGUAAUGCCUAGGAAUCUGCCUGGUAGUGGGGGAUAACGUCCGGAAACGGGCGCUAAUACCGCAUACGUCCUGAGGGAGAAAGUGGGGGAUCUUCGUACCUCACGCUAUCAGAUGAGCCUAGGUCGGAUUAGCUAGUUGGUGGGGUAAAGGCCUACCAAGGCGACGAUCCGUAACUGGUCUGAGAGGAUGAUCAGUCGCACUGGAACUGAGACACGGUCCAGACUCCUACGGGAGGCAGCAGUGGGGAAUAUUGGACAAUGGGCGAAAGCCUGAUCCAGCCAUGCCGCGUGUGUGAAGAAGGUCUGCGGAUUGUAAAGCACUUUAAGUUGGGAGGAAGGGCAGUAAGUUAAUACCUUGCUGUUUUGACGUUACCAACAGAAUAAGCACCGGCUAACUUCGUG